RNAcentral lists this ribosomal RNA (429 nucleotides) under Acidobacteriota bacterium. Its description in RNAcentral is "Acidobacteria bacterium partial 16S ribosomal RNA". It matches the Rfam family "Bacterial small subunit ribosomal RNA", at positions 355 to 776 of the family's 1533-position model. Lineage: Bacteria; Pseudomonadati; Acidobacteriota. The record is from RNAcentral.
UGGGGAAUUUUGGACAAUGGGGGAAACCCUGAUCCAGCCAUCCCGCGUGUGCGAUGAAGGCCUUCGGGUUGUAAAGCACUUUUGGCAGGAAAGAAACGUCAUGGGUUAAUACCCCGUGAAACUGACGGUACCUGCAGAAUAAGCACCGGCUAACUACGUCCCAGCAGCCGCGGUAAUACGUAGGGUGCAAGCGUUAAUCGGAAUUACUGGGCGUAAUGCGUGCGCAGGCGGUUCGGAAAGAAAGAUGUGAAAUCCCAGAGCUCAACUUUAGAACUGCAUUUUUAACUACCGGGCUAGAGGGUGUCAGAGGGAGGUGGAAUUCCGCGUGUAGCAGUGAAAUGCGUAGAUAUGCGGAGGAACACCGAUGGCGAAGGCAGCCUCCUGGGAUAACACUGACGCUCAUGCACGAAAGCGUGGGGAGCAAGCAGG